This 305-nucleotide long non-coding RNA is filed under the name Ananas comosus (pineapple). RNAcentral's name for it is "long non-coding RNA (ACOM_LNC032006)". The record is from RNAcentral. Lineage: Eukaryota; Viridiplantae; Streptophyta; Magnoliopsida; Poales; Bromeliaceae.
UAUAUACGAAACAAUCUAAAUCAAUCUAAUCUUUAAAAAAAAAGUUCACGUAAGCGACCAUCUAACACAAACUAAAAGAGAGUCACUAAUUCUAUAAUACACAGAAGAAGGAAAAAAAUAAGUAACUGAUUUACCACUCACAUGACAAUAACACUCAAAUAAUUUCAUAUUUGAAGAAAAAAUGAUUAAAUUUGGAAUAUAACGGAUCAGAGACUCUACCACUAAUUAAUAACUUGAUUUAGAUAUUUUGGGCUUUUGGUUAAUUUAGACCUACCGAAUCAUUCCUCUAAUGAUCAAACAAAUCA